GGGGAUUUAGCUCAGUGGUAGAGCACUUGCCUAGCAAGCUCAAGGUCCUGGGUUCGGUCCCCAGCUCCA
RNAcentral lists this transfer RNA (69 nucleotides) under Rattus norvegicus (Norway rat). It matches the Rfam family "tRNA". From Rfam's summary of the family: Transfer RNA (tRNA) molecules are approximately 80 nucleotides in length. Their secondary structure includes four short double-helical elements and three loops (D, anti-codon, and T loops). The record is from Rfam by way of RNAcentral. Lineage: Eukaryota; Metazoa; Chordata; Mammalia; Rodentia; Muridae.